This is a non-coding RNA of Cyanistes caeruleus (blue tit), 2254 nucleotides long. The record is from RefSeq and is a predicted model, not a curated record. Lineage: Eukaryota; Metazoa; Chordata; Aves; Passeriformes; Paridae.
CUGGGUGAAGUCCAGCCUCUCGUCCACCAGCAGCCCAAAGGCCUUUUGGGAGGAUGCUCUUGAUCUGUUCUUUCCCCAGCCUGGAUUGAUAUGAGAGUUGCCAUGACACAGGUGCAGCACCUUGUACUUGAUCUUGUUAAACCUCAUGAGAUUUCCAUGGGCCAACAUCUCUGUCUUGUCCAGGUCCCUCUGGAUGGCAUCCCAUCCUUCAGGUUUGUCAACUCGAUCUGUUCUGUGUCAUCUGCAGUUUUGCAGAGGGUGCACUCAGUCCCUUCGUCCAUGUCAUUAAAGAAGAUAUUAAAUAACUCCCAGUAUGGACACCUCUACACUAGAAAGGUGUGAAGUUCUGGCUUGUGUUUGCAAGGUAGCCAGAGAAAUGGAACUUCUGGCUUUUAUUUCCACUAGAAAUGGACUUUCGGCUCCAGAAGUCUAGAAGAUGAAAAUUGUCAAAUUUUUGUGUAUCAAAUUUCAUUACCUUACUUUAUGGGCAAAAGUAAGUAUUUGGUACUUGUUUUAUACUAUUAAAACUGCUGCACCAACAAAGAGAGACAGGGAAAAGCCAGCAUAGGAUUGAACAGAGUUGGAAGUUGCAGUUAUAGGACUAAGUUUCAGCUUCCUCUCUGUGUGGACAGGAGUUACACAGAUGUAACAGAACAAGACAAAAUGUUCCAAAUCCAUUGUUCUUGCUCAGUAACUUGGAACAAUUUGGUGCCUCCUCAUCAUCUGCUUCUUCCAGAAGAGGCACUGGCCUCUGUGCCUGCCAGAGAUUAUUUAUUGAAACACACCAUAUGACAGCUCCAUCAACACAUCAGUCACUGUAGCUUUACAGUCAUCUCCAGUCCCUAAAAUUGGACUUGUUUCUUUCAAAGAGGAACUUGCUAAGUACCUGUCAGCUUCACUAGGUUCAUCUUGAACAGCACUGACCUUAAAAGUUAGGAAAUAUUUAGCCAAAUACAUGGUCAGAUUUCAAAUACAAAAUUAGAAUCCAAGCUAUAAAAAGGUAGAUAAACUAGACUGUACUUAACUAAAAGAUUAUUUCUUAGCUGCUGUGGUAUUUUGCAGCCAGAACCCCAUACAGCCUAUGCACAUGUAUUCCAUGCUACUUCAGGGUGAAACUCAACACUAACCAGAGGGCCUAAGCCCUUGAGGGCUGUUCUCUAGUGGUAACCCACUCCAAACUCUCUUCUUUUUGUUAAAGAUGCUUCUCUCUUGUUUUUAUUUCAUAGUGCUGAUUUAAAUCCAAGAUAAUGCUGUUGCGUUAUCCGAGAGGAGAGAGAAUGUGUAUUCAUUCAAUUAUUUAAAGCAUCCUCAAUACUGUUACAAUAUCCAGCAAGAGCAGUACUGCCUGGAUAAGCUGGAAGGAAUUGAAAUGGUGCCAGUUACACAUCAUUAUGUGUUCUAACACAGUGAAUGUAAGGGAGAGCAAGUCUAAGGUGUUACUCUCUACCUCCUACAAGGGGAAAAACUCUCCUGGUUCCAAGGGACUGGGCAUGCUUUCAUGCACAUUGGAAGUGUACAGUGUUAUAUAACUAUUACUUAAAGACAAAAAGUUUUGGGUUUUACCAUAAUACCUUCUGGAAAAUUGUCCUCUUUAAAAAUAAAGUAUUUUUGUAUCUUAAAAUUGGUACCUGGUAGUUUUUUGUAAGAACAUGUGUAUCUAAAUGGCAGCAUAAACUUCUGUUAGUCUUCUUUGCAGGGAGAUUCUGAGCCCUUGAUAGAUGUUAAUGAUUGACCUUAUGGCUAAGAUGUUCAAAUCUGCCAUUUGGAUGUCAUGUUCAAUCCUUUAAGGAGGAUAAAGCAAAAACAUUGGAUUAAAAUACAGAUAUGACAAUAUAAACUUAUGGGCAUCUUCUCUCAUCUCCUAGUUGGUACUCAAUUACAGUAUGAGGACCCUGGCAGAUUAAGCAAUACUUAAUAGCAAUCUUUUAGAAAAACUCAUGUAGCACAUGUUCAGAUGAAUGUACUUUAGCAUCAAUCACAUCCGUUUUAAUCAGUAUAAGCUACUCAGAAUGCAAGAAUUGCAAUAAAAAGUUAUGAAAUUAGUUACAAAAAAAGGUGUUAAAAGGUGAUGUACUGGGGACCUAGUACAAAUACAACACCUACUUGUAAGAGCAGAAAUAGGAACAGAAAGUCCUGAAUUAAUUAUGUGUAGAGGGUAUUUAUGUGUUGCUACUGACUGUAAAAGAUGAUCCUUAGUGUAAACAACUUGCCUUCAGAAUCUCCAAGACAGCAAAUAAAGAGCUAAAAAACUCAA